UUAAUGAGAGUUUGAUCCUGGCUCAGGACGAACGCUGGCGGCGUGCCUAAUACAUGCAAGUAGAACGCUGAGGAUUGGUGCUUGCACUAAUCCAAGGAGUUGCGAACGGGUGAGUAACGCGUAGGUAACCUACCUCAUAGCGGGGGAUAACUAUUGGAAACGAUAGCUAAUACCGCAUGAUACUAGAGUACACAUGUGCUUAAGUUAAAAGGAGCAACUGCUUCACUAUGAGAUGGACCUGCGUUGUAUUAGCUAGUUGGUGAGGUAAAGGCUCACCAAGGCGACGAUACAUAGCCGACCUGAGAGGGUGAUCGGCCACACUGGGACUGAGACACGGCCCAGACUCCUACGGGAGGCAGCAGUAGGGAAUCUUCGGCAAUGGACGGAAGUCUGACCGAGCAACGCCGCGUGAGUGAAGAAGGUUUUCGGAUCGUAAAGCUCUGUUGUUAGAGAAGAACGGUAAUGGGAGUGGAAAAUCCAUUACGUGACGGUAACUAACCAGAAAGGGACGGCUAACUACGUGCCAGCAGCCGCGGUAAUACGUAGGUCUCGAGCGUUGUCCGGAUUUAUUGGGCGUAAAGCGAGCGCAGGCGGUUCUAUAAGUCUGAAGUAAAAGGCAGUGGCUCAACCAUUGUAUGCUUUGGAAACUGUAGAACUUGAGUGCAGAAGGGGAGAGUGGAAUUCCAUGUGUAGCGGUGAAAUGCGUAGAUAUAUGGAGGAACACCGGUGGCGAAAGCGGCUCUCUGGUCUGUAACUGACGCUGAGGCUCGAAAGCGUGGGGAGCAAACAGGAUUAGAUACCCUGGUAGUCCACGCCGUAAACGAUGAGUGCUAGGUGUUAGGCCCUUUCCGGGGCUUAGUGCCGCAGCUAACGCAUUAAGCACUCCGCCUGGGGAGUACGACCGCAAGGUUGAAACUC
This 918-nucleotide ribosomal RNA is filed under the name Streptococcus iniae. RNAcentral's name for it is "bacterial SSU rRNA". It matches the Rfam family "Bacterial small subunit ribosomal RNA", at positions 1 to 902 of the family's 1533-position model. Lineage: Bacteria; Bacillati; Bacillota; Bacilli; Lactobacillales; Streptococcaceae. The record is from RNAcentral.